RNAcentral lists this ribosomal RNA (382 nucleotides) under uncultured eukaryote. RNAcentral's name for it is "partial 18S ribosomal RNA". It matches the Rfam family "Eukaryotic small subunit ribosomal RNA", at positions 592 to 976 of the family's 1831-position model. The record is from RNAcentral.
CAAUAGCGUAUAUUAAAGUUGUUGCAGUUAAAAAGCUCGUAGUUGGAUUUCUGGUUGAAGCGACCGGUCGGGCGUUGAUUCGUCUGCACUGGAGUCGGUUUUGGCCAUCCUCUAGGAAAGUGCGUCUGGUAUUAAGUUAUCGGGCGUAUGAUCCUGGUCUUUUACUGUGAAAAAAUUAGAGUGUUUAAAGCAGGCCUUCGCCUUGAAUACAUUAGCAUGGAAUAAUAAGAUAGGACUUUGGUCUAUUUUGUUGGUUUGCAGACCGAAGUAAUGAUUAAUAGGGAUAGUUGGGGGUAUUUAUAUUCCGAUGUCAGAGGUGAAAUUCUUAGAUUUUCGGAAGAUAAACUUAUGCGAAAGCGUUUACCAAGGAUGUUUUCAUUAA